UACGGAGGAUGCAAGCGUUAUCCGGAAUCAUUGGGUUUAAAGGGUCCGUAGGCGGUUUGGUAAGUCCGUGGUGAAAGCCCAUCGCUCAACGGUGGAACGGCCAUUGAUACUGCCAGACUUGAAUUAUUAGGAAGUAACUAGAAUAUGUAGUGUAGCGGUGAAAUGCGUAGAGAUGACAUAGAACACCUAUUGCGAAGGCAGCUUACUGCGCAGAUAUUGACGCUCAUGCACGAAAGCGUGGGGAGCAAACAGG
RNAcentral lists this ribosomal RNA (253 nucleotides) under uncultured bacterium. RNAcentral's name for it is "partial 16S ribosomal RNA". It matches the Rfam family "Bacterial small subunit ribosomal RNA", at positions 524 to 776 of the family's 1533-position model. The record is from RNAcentral.